RNAcentral lists this long non-coding RNA (737 nucleotides) under Musa acuminata (dwarf banana). RNAcentral describes it as "long non-coding RNA (MACU_LNC006908)". The record is from RNAcentral. Lineage: Eukaryota; Viridiplantae; Streptophyta; Magnoliopsida; Zingiberales; Musaceae.
CGCAUGUAUCAUUUCUGCAAAUCAUUGCCACAGUCAUCCUCCAUCGAUAGAUAGUUUCAUCUUCUAUAUCCUUUUCUUCAUUCUCUUUUCAAAGGAAUCGAGUUGAUAUUUAAGACCUAAGACUCAGAAGGGCCAGCUAGUCACAAAUAAUGCACCAAAUCAGACAGCAAUGCAAUUCGAAUCCUAGCAAAGGAAUUUAAAUGAACCAGCCAAGUAGGUUAAAGCUCAAAAACCCUAAGGGAACCUUAAAACUCAGUGCCAAACUCUCGGCGGCGCAAUAAGCUGCUUGCUCGACAGAUUCUGAACCAAGCGAAGAGCCCACCACAUGAUAACGACAACAAAAGCGAAGAUUGAGGAAAGGAGAACAAGGGAGAAAGGAUACGGUGUCCGGGAAUGGCGAUCUCGAGCAUUGACGGCGAGGGGAUUAGCGUUGCAGAUGGACUCGACCGUGGUGAGGUCCCCGUUCCUCGCGGCGGCGUGGAGAUCGGAAGAUUCGCUGCCCCCCUUCGGUAAUCGGUUCUUCCUCCUCGAUGCCGCUCCGGGGUCUCCCAUCUCCGCGGGGUGUGCCGUCGUGGAGCUUCAAGCGACGAAGGCAGCGGUAAUGCAUACUUGAUUGAAGGCCGAGACCGUAGCAGGAUGGGCCGAGUUAAGGCCCACAAAUGGCGAGACGUACUUCGAACGAAGAUACCUUGGAUCGUUAGAAUCGGACUAGGAUUCCGAGAGACAUCGGAUCGAGC